AUUGAACGCUGGCGGCAUGCCUUACACAUGCAAGUCGAACGGCAGCACGGGAGCAAUCCUGGUGGCGAGUGGCGAACGGGUGAGUAAAGUAUCGGAACGUGCCCAGUCGUGGGGGAUAACGUAGCGAAAGUUACGCUAAUACCGCAUACGAUCUAUGGAUGAAAGCGGGGGAUCGCAAGACCUCGCGCGAUUGGAGCGGCCGAUAUCAGAUUAGGUAGUUGGUGGGGUAAAGGCUCACCAAGCCGACGAUCUGUAGCUGGUCUGAGAGGACGACCAGCACCACUGGGACUGAGACACGGCCCAGACUCCUACGGGAGGCAGCAGUGGGGAAUUUUGGACAAUGGGCGAAAGCCUGAUCCAGCCAUGCCGCGUGCAGGGUGAAGGCCUUCGGGUUGUAAACUGCUUUUGUACGGAACGAAAAGGUUUGGCCUAAUAAGCUGAGCUCAUGACGGUACCGUAAGAAUAAGCACCGGCUAACUACGUGCCAGCAGCCGCGGUAA
This 500-nucleotide ribosomal RNA is filed under the name uncultured bacterium. RNAcentral describes it as "partial 16S ribosomal RNA". It matches the Rfam family "Bacterial small subunit ribosomal RNA", at positions 30 to 523 of the family's 1533-position model. The record is from RNAcentral.